Molecule: transfer RNA, 75 nt
Filed under: compost metagenome
Description: tRNA-Asn
Rfam family: tRNA
About the family: Transfer RNA (tRNA) molecules are approximately 80 nucleotides in length.
Source: RNAcentral
UUGGGGUGUAGCUCAACUGGCAGAGCACUCGACUGUUAAUCGAGCGGUUGGUGGUUCGAGUCCACCCGCCCCAGU